UGCGGUGCAGCGGGCAGCCUCGACUGGCAUUGGCGGCUUGGCGUUCCGCUGCCCGCUGGUGAGUGCUGAGUGCUACUAAUCUCAUCUGGCCUGGGCAGCUGGUCGUCUCACGGAAACUCGAAGAGCACAUCAGGAUUUGUGGUUGGCGCGCUGCAGCUGGUUGUACCGAUUUACUUUUUUUUUGUCUAUGUCUACUAAAAUCUCAGUUUCCCAAUCUGUCAAAUGGCAAUUCCCAUGAGCCCAUGACAUAUCAUACCUUUUGUGGACUUGACAAACAGAAUUGGUUGAAUCGGAACAUUUGUUCAUUAAUUAAUUGUAUUUGUGAAAAUUGCACAUCUGAUUUCUUGUAAGUGCCCAACUAUUAAGUGUUAAUUCAAAUUCAGUGAUUAUCCUUAUGAAAAUACAGGAGGCAAGGAUGAACCACAUUGGCACAUCGCCAUCAAUUAGGUAAUUUUCUAAUCAUUUUUAUGUUUUUAUCAAGAUUGUUAUACAAUUUAACGUGAAUAUCAAAUAUCAUCUAAAUUAUGAAUUUUAUGCUUUACUUUUAUUAUUAUCUAUAAGGUCCCUUUGGAACGUGGGAAAAUCCCUAAAUCCUGUGUUUUUUUUUUCCUGUUAGGGCUAGUUUGGCACCUAAUUUUUCCCAAAGAAUUCUCAUUUUCUUUGGGAAAGGGAAAAUAGGGUUGCCAAACUAGCCUUAAAAUUGGAUUGAAUCCUUCAUUCCAAAGGGGCGCUAAGUAUGUGACUGAUGUGAAUAGUUUAAACAUUGGCACUACACGUGUGGAUUCAGCAACUCCGCCACAUUAAAGACCAUACAGCAUUCCAGAUGACUAGGGCAGUGAAUUGAGUCUCCACACUGCACUGGAGAUCUGCGGGAUCAGGUACAAGAGUGGAGUGGAAUGAUUAUUUGUGUUCGGAUCAGCUACUACGCCUGCAGUCCUGCUCCAGUUCAUCAGCCUCUGCAAUCACGGCGAUCUUGACUAAUACGGGUGUGGCUGGCCAAAUUGAUUCCCCCAGGACUUAAGGUACCUCGUAGAUCUCCAGACGUCAUCCGCAUUGUGAGUGUGUGAUUGUAGGAGAAAGUGAGAAACCCACCACGAUCAUCCUGUGUAUAGCACAGUAAGGAUCUCAUCCCAGAUUCCCAGCCACAUGCAGUAAUAGUUUCUACCACAAUUCUGUGUCAUAACUCCAAUACAAAUUUCACACGGAUCAUAUUAUUGGAUAUAUACCAGCUUUUAUAGAAUCGAGAUGUAGCAUUCCCUGCUAAACAAACACCUUCACUAUACCUGAGCCUGAUAUAUGCAAGUUGGGUAUUGGAAUCGAUCUGCUAUAUAAGUUUAGAAAAGGUUUUAAACAUAAUAAAGUUUUGAGUGGCAAUGCCAGCAAAUCAGAAGCACCACAUAUUCCAACAUGACUGUUAAAGUGUACAAAAAAGAAGACAAGAAGUUCAGCAUGAAGAAGCUAUCAAGAAAGUUUGCAGCAUUCAUCAAAGAAGUCUUAUCAAUGUGGUCAGUCUCUGAUAAGUGAUAAGCAAGCACCUUAUUAGAUGCUAAAGAGCAGACCAGCAUGCUAAGUUGUCUGGAUAAACAUUAUGAUUGGUAUGUCUAGUUGAAGAUAUUAUAAGCCUGCUUCUUUAUCUCCACAGCUUCGAGGAGCUUCUUGGCCACCGCGCAUGCGUACACAGAAGAGCCCUUAGGUAUCUGCAGUAUCAAGAUAUGAAGUAUCAUAACUAAUGUCUGUGAUACAGACACAGGGAAAAGGAUCAGGAACAUAGAAGAAAUGUUCGUUACCUUUGUAUUGAACAUGAAUAUAUGGUGAUCUCCAAUGAUUCCCCCAACAACAUGGAUGAGCUCAAGAUGAAACUCCUCUAGAACCUUUGCAGCACAAAGCAAAGAGUUGGCUCUCUUCUUCUCUGUGAAUUUGAUAUUUAUUUCAUCAUCGACUAUGCGGACAUCAACGUCACACUCCUUGGACCUCCUUUGAACCCAGGAGCUCCUUAUAGUCCCAUUCAUCUGAUUGUUUUGAUCAUCACUCACUGGCUGCAUUGAAGAACUUUCCCCAUCAUCAGCUGCCUCCUCAUCCAACUUCAGUAUCUUCCUCCUGUCAGCGCUGUUCCUCUUCUUUUCAAGUAGGAUCUUCAGUUCUUUCACUGUUCUAUUAAGCUCAUUGAUGUAUUCAAUGGCAUCUCCAACUAUAGAGGCCCUGUCAUUCUGGAAAAUAGCUUUACAACAAUUCAGAAUUCAUAGCAUCUUAUUCACUAAGCCUACAAUAAAUGUAAGGAAAGAAAAACAAUAUUGCAUUGUGCUGGUCAUAACUAGAGUUUAUGGAAUGGAAGAUAUCUUAUCUCGCAUAUUGUAGAAUUACAUUCUACUUUGUUGGAUGCUGAUACUAAAGAUCAAUUUAAGUGCAUUAGUCCACUGAAUACAUGCAAAAAAUUCCAUGAUCACCUUCCUCCACAUACUAAUGCCACUUUAUAAGAGUUUGCUAACGACGAAUCAAUCUUUAAUAAAGUUUUUUUAUCAUACACAUUUGUUUCAAUUUUAUUUUUCCUAGAGAAAACAAUCUGAAUACAUAUUCCAUUAUAUCCUGUACGAAUAGAACUUACUAAAUGUUCUAGAAAUCUUUGUAACUGUGGAAAGUGAGUUCUUCUGCAAUGCGAAAAACAAUUAUGAAAUUUGUGCGUGGAAAGAUAAGCUAUACAAACCUUAGUAGGGUUUGGGAACAGUGACCUUAAAGCCCCAUACUUCACAUUAAACUGCUCCCUCCUCUCUCUUUCAGUUGCAAAGUUAGCUUUUCCUUUGCCUUUGCCAAAUCCACCUUUCUGCUUUCUACUCCCCAGUAUUGGGCUGUCGAACUGCCUCCCAUCUAUCUCCUGGAAAAUAUUUCCUGAGACCCCUGGUACCCCGACCAUUCCAUCUCUCUCAUCAUCACUGGUAAAUAACCCAUAGUUUUGUGGUAGUGAAUGAUAGAGAUCCUUCAACAUAUGAGAUUGAGUUGCAUGAUAGCCUAACGGUACAGUUGAAUCGCUGAACAUCAUUCCACUUUCAUGAUUUGCUACUCCUGGAAGAUCAUUUGUAAUGUCCAACCUGUUGACCAUGUUCUGUGCUGGAUCACUAAAGAUAUGUUCUGUGGAAGGAAAUUCAGGAAUCAAACUGCACCUUUGGAUAUGUAGAGAAUUUAGAAGAUCAUGUGCAGCUGCAUAAGUGCCAUUUCGAUAUGAUGCAGGGUCAUAGCCCAGGACCUGUUGUUCCACAGUUAUGUUAUGCGGACCUUCUAUCUGGUGGCUAAGGAUAUGAUCUUGAACACCAUAGACAGCAGGAACCAAAUUUUCAGUUUCUGCUGGAGGAACUUCUUGCAUCAUGUGAUCACUAUGGUCCUGCUCGAUGUCAAUCCCCAGCUGGUGUUGAAUUUGGUCUAUCACCCUUGCAGCCUCAGAGGUAAGGUUGGCUGGAUUGGAGUGAUCUUCUAUGAUAAAGGGCGCAAAUCUGAAGUUCUGCUGUUCAACAUCUGUAUUGUCAUAGAUGGAAGAUUGUGAAGAAUCAUGGAUCAUUGAUCCUUCCAUGAGAAUAUGGUCAUGAGAACCAUCAAAAUAGCCUCCCCCAGCAAUCAUUUUGGCACUGGUUACCUUCACUCAAAAGAUAAAAAAAUACAACAUUUAGGAAAUAUAUGCACCAUAUAAGUAUCUAAAGUAUCAAAACAUUUGGGAAGAAGCAAAGGCAGGAGACAAAACUUAUUAAGAAACAUAGAAGUAGCCUGCUAGAGGAUCUGAAAUAGACAAAACUAUUAGCUGGUGCCCAUGAAUUAAGGGAAAAGAUGACUCAACCUGUAUGAAACAACGAUGAAGUUGAUUAGACAGAGAAGAUUGCAGCUGGCUUAGUUGGUUUGAUUGUUUGAGAGGAAGAGAACACUCAAGGUUUAAGCUAGGCAAUCUGUUUCUCUCUAUCUUUUCCGUGUGGGGUUUUAUUAGCACAUUGGAUGAGACAGGAAGCCUUUUUGCUUACUAAGGACCCAACAAACUGCCUUGCGUCUUUUUUUGCGCCCUACUCCUAAAAAUAUGAAUCUUGCUAUUUUGUGCUUCAACUACCAAGCUCAACAGAACACAGACUAGUAUAAGUAUUGACAAUGACCAAAGUGCCCUUUACCUUCCUGAAAUCUCUAAACAAAUGCACUACAAGUCCAAUAGUUGAGAAAGGUAGUAUGUUUAAAUCUCAAAGACAGUAAUUCAUAAUGUAAGCAAAACUUCAUUAUUUAGAUACAUACUCCCUCUGUUUUUUUAUUUGACGCUUUUUAGUUCAAAAAUGAACUACCUGGCGUCAACUAUUUAAAAAUGGAGGUAGUAUUUUUCUUCUUCUUCAGGUUGGUAUAUACAAGCCGGCAGUUUCAAUCUAGCAUCUGCAUCCUGCCAAUAAUACUAAAAACUGAAAGUAAUGAGAAGAGAACAGUACCAAGAUUAUUUUGACAGACCAGACAGCGGACACGCUGUUCAGAAACUAGUUGCUGAAAACCAUCCUUGCGAAGUAGUCUGAGUGUGCUGCUAGUAAUAUAUAUGGUAAAAAGGCAAAAUGUAAUUGGCAUGUGGGCAGUACCGCAAUAGUACGAAAAUUUGGUUGCCACGUAAAUUUGAUGAUCAGAUAACAGAAUAUGUUUAUAUCUACACCAAUCAUUUCCUAAAGUUUCUCUUCAACAUUCUUAUAAGUGGUCGAAGUGAAGGGCUAUCAGAUUUCAGAUCAUCAUCAUUAAGAACGGCCACGAGAAAGAUGGAAAACUCACACUCUUUGAACUUGGCAUCUUUGCUGUUAUUCAUGCCAUAGGAAGUUGGGAAAUGCAAGUCAUGCCUUCUCCGUUCCACCGUAUUUUACGCGCAUUAUGCUGUAGUGUGCUUUCAGAAACUAAAAGGACAAGUCCAACUACCUGAAAAACUGGACAGUUGCAAAGGUAGUCAUAACCUUGCAAAGGUAAUCAUCAUGCCAUGCUUGAAUGUCUUUGUACUUUGUACACUUGGACCCAGUAGACAGCAGUUAUUUGUGGUUGACAUUUCUGGGAUUCUUAUUAUUUCCCAUAUAAUAUAUGUGCUAGGCAGAGACUGUCUAAAACGAUGACUCUCUGAAUUUAUGUUUCAGGAACAUACCAUGUCUUUUCUGAAAUUCGAAUGCAAAUGAACACCUCAUCCAACAGAAUGUUCAGGGAGGGAACACCUUUCAGAAAAGAAGAGAAACGGAGUGAUGGAACUCAACUGUGAAGGCUGCGUCUGCGCUUAGCUUUGUGAAUAUGGUGAUGGAUCUUAUGGUCAUUCUUGAAUUUGUCCAUGGCACCAUUCAUGCUAAACAACCUGUUCUAACCAUGUGGAGGGACACUGGUUCUGGGUGUUCAUAUGUUUUUUUUUUCUGGAGCUGCAAAUGCUUGGGGUAAACAAGCAUUCUGAUCGUUUUGCUGAGCUGCAUUACAGCGACAAAUUUGAUGAGCAAUAGAGGCAGAUUAAGCUGGAAGUUGAAAUCAAUGAAAUUUGGAAGUUCUGUUAACCUUGUGUCAACUGGGGAAGUGAUUUCAACGGGAGGUAGGCAGAAUUAUUCGCCUCUGAAUGCCUAUGCCAACCCUUGUGAACUCUGAUAUAUGCUCACUCCGUUCCAAAAUAAAUCCGAACUUUCAUAAAUUUAUUUGACUAGAUUUAUAGAAAAGAUUAAAUCUGUAUCUUCAAAUAAAUUAAUUAUGAAAAUAGAUUCAACGAAGGAUAUGGACUAUAAAUAUUAUAGUUAGUCACUUAGUCAAAGUGAGAACGGCACUUGUUUUGGGACGGAGGAGCACGAGUGAAGUAGACUGAAAGAUUAAUCGUCUCUGAAGAAUGCCUAUCA
Molecule: long non-coding RNA, 5846 nt
Filed under: Zea mays
Lineage: Eukaryota; Viridiplantae; Streptophyta; Magnoliopsida; Poales; Poaceae
Description: long non-coding RNA (ZMAY_LNC003456)
Source: RNAcentral